UACAGAGGUCCCGAGCGUUGUUCGGAUUCAUUGGGCGUAAAGGGUGCGUAGGCGGCGGAGCAAGUCUGAUGUGAAAUCCCGGGGCUCAACCCCGGAACUGCAUUGGAUACUGCUUUGCUAGAGUACUGGAGAGGGAACUGGAAUUUACGGUGUAGCAGUGAAAUGCGUAGAGAUCGUAAGGAAGGCCAGUGGCGAAGGCGGCUCACUGGUCCAUUACUGACGCUGAGGUGCGAAAGCGUGGGGAGCAAACAGG
This 253-nucleotide ribosomal RNA is filed under the name uncultured bacterium. RNAcentral's name for it is "partial 16S ribosomal RNA". It matches the Rfam family "Bacterial small subunit ribosomal RNA", at positions 524 to 776 of the family's 1533-position model. The record is from RNAcentral.